GAGAAAGAAUUCGAGAACUGCUAAUUCACGUUCCCAUGUUUAAACACAUGGCUUUCCCA
Molecule: transfer RNA, 59 nt
Filed under: Arvicanthis somalicus
Lineage: Eukaryota; Metazoa; Chordata; Mammalia; Rodentia; Muridae
Description: tRNA-Ser
Source: RNAcentral